AUACAAAAAUUAAAUUCUGACUAGCUACAAAAACAUAAUAAUAGUCUUUCAAAUCUAAUCUAACAUCAGACGAUAAUCGAAGAAGAUAAAUACCAACGACCUCUACAGCAAUUUUUUCUCCAUUGCUAACCCGAAGGAUCAUGUCACCUUCUCUUAACCUCUUACUUUCUAUCAGACCCUACAUUAAGGUACAUAUAUGAGCACUCGAGUCAGAGUCUAAUACCCAACUAC
RNAcentral lists this long non-coding RNA (231 nucleotides) under Elaeis guineensis (African oil palm). Its description in RNAcentral is "long non-coding RNA (EGUI_LNC043195)". Lineage: Eukaryota; Viridiplantae; Streptophyta; Magnoliopsida; Arecales; Arecaceae. The record is from RNAcentral.